This 446-nucleotide ribosomal RNA is filed under the name uncultured bacterium. Its description in RNAcentral is "partial 16S ribosomal RNA". It matches the Rfam family "Bacterial small subunit ribosomal RNA", at positions 338 to 795 of the family's 1533-position model. The record is from RNAcentral.
CCUACGGGAGGCAGCAGUCGAGAAUCAUUCACAAUGGGGGAAAGCCUGAUGGUGCGACGCCGCGUGGGGGAAUGAAGGUCUUCGGAUUGUAAACUCCUGUCAUGUGGGAGCAAGGUAAAAGGUUAGUACCACAAGAGGUAGAGAGGGCUAACUCCGUGCAAGCAGCCGCGGUAAUACAGAGGGCUCAAGCGUUGUUCGGAAUCACUGGGCGUAAAGCGUGCGUAGGCUGUUUAGUAAGUCGUGUGUGAAAUGCGCGGGCUCAACCCGCGGACGGCACAUGAUACUGGGAGACUGGAGUGAUGGAGGGGGAAGCGGAAUUCUAGGUGUAGGAGUGAAAUGCGUAGAUAUCGGGAGGAACACUAGUGGCGAAGGCGGGUUCCUGGACAGUAACUGACGCUGAGGCACGAAAGCGAGGGGAGCGAAAGGGAUUAGAUACCCGAGUAGUC